AAGUCGUAACAAGGUUUCCGUAGGUGAACCUGCGGAAGGAUCAUUAACACAAGUAAAAAAACAUUUUUACAACACCCUAUUAUGAAUUUAAAUUUUUUAAUUUUUAAUUUUUUUAUAAAACUACAUUUAAUUUAUUUGACUAACAUUUUUUAAUUAAUUUAUUUAAAAUUUUAUAAAACAACUCUUAACAACGGAUAUCUUGGCUCUC
Molecule: unclassified non-coding RNA, 208 nt
Filed under: fungal sp.
Lineage: Eukaryota; Fungi
Description: partial internal transcribed spacer region
Rfam family: Eukaryotic small subunit ribosomal RNA (bases 1-46)
Source: RNAcentral